GGCACGUGCGCGUUGCUACACAUGCAGUCGAACGGGGUAUAUAAGCGGAAGUUCACGGAUGGAAGGUUAUAUACUUAGUGGCGGACGGGUGAGUAACGCGUGGGCAACCUGCCCCGUGCCGGGGGAUACCGCCUGGAAACAGGCGCUAAUACCGCAUAAGCGCAUACAGCCGCAUGGGUGUAUGCGGAAAGCUCCGGCGGCACGGGAUGGGCCCGCGCCCGAUUAGCCAGUUGGCGGGGUAACGGCCCACCAAAGCGACGAUCGGUAGCCGGCCUGAGAGGGCGGACGGCCACAUUGGGACUGAGACACGGCCCAAACUCCUACGGGAGGCAGCAGUGGGGAAUAUUGCACAAUGGGGGAAACCCUGAUGCAGCAACGCCGCGUGGGUGAAGGAGCGUUUCGGCGCGUAAAGCCCUGUCAGCGGGGAAGAAGAAAGACGGUACCCGACCAAGAAGCCCCGGCUAACUACGUGCCAGCAGCCGCGGUAAUACGUANGGGGCGAGCGUUAUCCGGAAUUACUGGGUGUAAAGGGAGCGUAGACGGCGAGGUAAGCCUGAAGUGGAAGCCCGCGGCCCAACCGCGGAACUGCUUUGGGAACUGUUUUGCUGGAGUAUGGGAGGGGUAAGCGGAAUUCCUGGUGUACCGGUGAA
RNAcentral lists this ribosomal RNA (650 nucleotides) under uncultured bacterium. RNAcentral describes it as "bacterial SSU rRNA". It matches the Rfam family "Bacterial small subunit ribosomal RNA", at positions 32 to 685 of the family's 1533-position model. The record is from RNAcentral.